GAUUAACAGUGCAUCAGUCUUCAUAAGAAGCUUACACCCUUUCGUCAUCAAAAUUCACCACACAGACAACUCAGACAUCAAAAUAAAAAUACACAGAAAACCCACACAUACAGACCAAUAUUUACUAUGGACAUCAGGGGGGGGCUAACUAGCAUGCUAACUAGCCGCUGGCUCCACUGUGCGGAGACUCAGCCGUCUGCUCGGCAUCGUCUCAGCUAAUUCGUGUCCAUGUUCAAGCCAUUGAACCUGUUCUCUCAGCCGUGUUUGUGCCUUUUGGAUAUAUUUUUCAGGCAAAUAUUGGAGUAAUAUGGCUUGCUGUUCAAUUAAUUGUACCAACAGACCAUCCAACAAGUCUGUGCUCCAGUUUUUUUGUUUUCCUCUAGGUGACCCAGACAGACUGGACCAGUGGACACUCAACACGAGAAGACAGAACUGGACUCCAAACAAGACUUCCCGUCUGUGCAGUGAACACUUUGAGAGUCAUCACUUCAGCGCUGACUCCAGGAUAAAGACACCUUUUUUUAUACAGUACCUCACAAAGAGUCAAGAAACUUAUUAGUUUAAAAUGAUGAAUUAUUGUCCAUAAUACAUUUAAAUGCAUUACAUAACUUACUAAUUGUCAUACAUUACUAAGUACUUGAUUAGGGCACAGCUUGCUCUGUACUAUUACUGAUAAGGUGAAAUUACUGACACACCAGUGCAGUUUAGUGUUCCCCUGAUGCAAAAGGCCAAAUGAAGAUUUUAUCACUCAAGGAACAUGACAUGUAUUUACCGACUUUAACAUUUUAGUGCCUUUUAUGCAAAGACCCUUUAUCAAAGUGAGAACUACUACCUUUUUACCCACACACAGUCUGUGAAGAACCAAUAGAAUAAAAUAUUCUCAUAAUGAGACAGCCGAACAUAGCAUGAUUCCACAGUGGCAGUGAGCUUUGAGAACAGUUCAGUUUCCUUUUGAUAGCAACAUUUAUUUUAAUGUGGAUGAAUUGCAUACUGUAUAUUCAUACUCCAGUUGUCUUGGUAGUACACUGUUAAAUUUAAAAUCACAUUCAAAUAUAAAGUCGAAUAUCUACGGAACUUAAACACAAAACUAUUUUAUGAAUGACAGCCACUUACUCAGCAAUAAGAUCAUUUUGGUGGUGAGUGGGCUUUUAACCAAGACAGGCUGUAGUCAGUGUUUUCUACCUGUGUUUUUAACCUGUCAUCUUUCUCUCAUGUAGUACACUUGAGGAAAGUUACAACGCCUAGGCCAAUGUGAUGUUUACUCCACAGUAAAGAGGUUGUUUUUGACACUGCGUCCUAAUCCAUAGGUUUUAUAAUUACUGUUACUGUGUACUUUUUGUAACCUUUUUUAAUAUGAAUGUUUUCAUGAAUGCAAGCUUUGACUUUGACUUGUUGACUUUGUGUAAUGGUUGUAAUUUUUGUUAUAUAAAAUGGAUCAGACAAAAUUUACUUUACAGUAAAAGCACAUUUUUUGAAAGCUGUCA
Non-coding RNA from Epinephelus lanceolatus (giant grouper), 1484 nucleotides. The record is from RefSeq and is a predicted model, not a curated record. NCBI's taxonomy places the organism in Eukaryota, Metazoa, Chordata, Actinopteri, Perciformes, Serranidae.